This is a long non-coding RNA of Vitis vinifera (wine grape), 796 nucleotides long. RefSeq lists it as uncharacterized. Lineage: Eukaryota; Viridiplantae; Streptophyta; Magnoliopsida; Vitales; Vitaceae. The record is from RefSeq and is a predicted model, not a curated record. The transcript has 2 exons.
AGGGUCGGAUGACACGUGAGCCAUGAUCUGUGAGACCAUGACCUGGAUUCACGUGGUUUGCAAAUAAAGCCAUAGUCCUUUUUUAUACUUCCUACCGUUAAUUAUUAGAAACCUCCUUUCGGCUGUGGAUUCUAUUUUUCUCUCUCCAGUCUCAACGGCUCUAUUCUGCUGAGAAAAUCAUGAUUUUUUGUUGGUUAUUAUAAGGUAAGUAAUGCGGUGGACAGCCCAACCGCAACGACGCUGUUCCCUGACUCCAUUCUCUUGUUCCAUUGCCGGUACCUUUUACACCCACCUUAUGGCUUGUGGGUUCAAGUGCCUUGGCCGCAUUCUCGACCGUUAUGUCCGUUUCUGCUGUGAAUCCCCCGGUCUUGUCUAUGCAUGCCAAGUAUUCGAUGAAAUUACUGAACAAGAUGUGGUCGCAGGAACCUUGUUUGUUUCGUGGGAUGAUGCUGGAUUAUUGAAGUCCCAAUUAUUUCAUGUUUGUGGAACGAUGAAGCUGAUGCUGCCGUUAGUUUGUUGAUGAGAUGACAUGUCAGAGAAGCAAGCCAUGGCCGGGAUUUUUCAUUGUCUGUGAAUAACUCUUGGUGAACUGUAAAGAAGGAUGUACUACAAUUGAUAAAGCGCACAACAGGGUUUUAAUCAAGAUUCCCUUUGAAAAUUUUGUUUUUGUGGAAUGUAAUGGUCUCAGGAGUAUGUUAAUGAGGGGCUUGUUUGUGAAGUUAAAUAAUUUUUCAAGAUGAUUCCAGAGAUGAAAUAUUUUGGCGUGGACUGUGAUCAUCAGUCCCAUCACUUCAAA